ACCUUCAACGAUUGAUAAAUGCGGAUGUCCUAUGUCUGAAAGUUUACGAUUAUUCUUAUUUCUAGUUAAUGCACUUACAUACCAU
Molecule: small RNA, 85 nt
Filed under: Staphylococcus aureus
Lineage: Bacteria; Bacillati; Bacillota; Bacilli; Caryophanales; Staphylococcaceae
Description: HMPRNC0000_2885
Source: RNAcentral